AACGAACGCUGGCGGCAUGCCUAACACAUGCAAGUCGAACGAGAUCCUUCGGGGUCUAGUGGCGGACGGGUGAGUAACGCGUGGGGACCUGCCCAGGGGUACGGAAUAACUACGGGAAACUGUAGCUAAUACCGUAUGAUGCCGAAAGGCCAAAGAUUUAUCGCCCUUGGAUGGACCCGCGUUGGAUUAGCUAGUUGGUGAGGUAAUGGCUCACCAAGGCGACGAUCCAUAGCUGGUUUGAGAAGAUGAUCAGCCACACUGGGACUGAGACACGGCCCAGACUCCUACGGGAGGCAGCAGUGGGGAAUAUUGGACAAUGGGGGCAACCCUGAUCCAGCAAUGCCGCGUGAGUGAAGAAGGCCUUAGGGUUGUAAAGCUCUUUCAGAUGGGAAGAUAAUGACGGUACCAUCAGAAGAAGCCCCCGGCUAACUCCGUGCCAGCAGCCGCGGUAAU
Molecule: ribosomal RNA, 453 nt
Filed under: uncultured bacterium
Lineage: Bacteria
Description: bacterial SSU rRNA
Rfam family: Bacterial small subunit ribosomal RNA
Source: RNAcentral